UCCGGCAUAGCUCAAUGGUAGAGCGCCCGACUGUUAAUCGGUAGGUUCCAGGUUCGAGUCCUGGUGCCGGAGCCA
RNAcentral lists this transfer RNA (75 nucleotides) under soil metagenome. It matches the Rfam family "tRNA". From Rfam's summary of the family: Transfer RNA (tRNA) molecules are approximately 80 nucleotides in length. The record is from RNAcentral. RNAcentral also lists the same sequence under 1 other name.